GGCAAAGUUCAGCACCAUCCUCUCUGCUGAAAUAACCAACAUGGUGCUCAUUAAUUAGUCAUGUGAACACUAGGGAUAACCACCCUCCCCUCCUUAAUCAGGAUCACAAAUGCUAGCUUUCAUAUGGAUUUCAAGCUGGGUGAAAUGACUUUUUUUGCUUGUAAAGAAGAAAUGAUGAUGGAGGUCUCAUCAGGAAGUGAUGCAGAAGACUGGGACAGGUCAUGUGGUAACAAAUACUAACUAUCAUUAGUAUAUGUUAUAAGGUAUUGAUCCAAAUUUUUAUGUUUAUAAAUAGUUAACAUCUCCAAACCAUUUCUUGAUAUUAAUUUCAUCCAGUGAUUUAAAUUGACACCUUCAUCAUAUUGUAAAUUAUAGUUUUGAUUUUCCUUUUUGACAAUGAAUUAAGAGGAUACUUUAGAACUUUCAAACUUAAUAAAAAACUUGU
Molecule: long non-coding RNA, 445 nt
Filed under: Pongo abelii (Sumatran orangutan)
Lineage: Eukaryota; Metazoa; Chordata; Mammalia; Primates; Hominidae
Description: lincRNA
Source: RNAcentral